UACAGAGGGGGCAAGCGUUGUUCGGAAUUACUGGGCGUAAAGGGCGCGUAGGCGGCCUUCUAAGUCGAACGUGAAAUCCCCGGGCUCAACCCGGGAACUGCGUCCGAUACUGGAAGGCUUGAAUCCGGGAGAGGGAUGUGGAAUUCCAGGUGUAGCGGUGAAAUGCGUAGAUAUCUGGAGGAACACCGGUGGCGAAGGCGCCUUGCUGGCCAAUUUCUGACGCUGAGGCGCGAAAGCGUGGGGAGCAAACAGG
This 253-nucleotide ribosomal RNA is filed under the name uncultured bacterium. RNAcentral's name for it is "partial 16S ribosomal RNA". It matches the Rfam family "Bacterial small subunit ribosomal RNA", at positions 524 to 776 of the family's 1533-position model. The record is from RNAcentral.